GGUUUAGUGAGAUCUUCGGAUUGGAACCGCCGCGGUCGGCAACGGUCAGGUGGAUUUCGAGAAGUUGAUCAAACUUGAUCAUUUAGAGGAAGUAA
This 95-nucleotide ribosomal RNA is filed under the name Agelas sp. QMG318578. RNAcentral's name for it is "partial 18S ribosomal RNA". RNAcentral also lists the same sequence under 1 other name. The record is from RNAcentral. Lineage: Eukaryota; Metazoa; Porifera; Demospongiae; Agelasida; Agelasidae.